RNAcentral lists this ribosomal RNA (706 nucleotides) under uncultured fungus. RNAcentral's name for it is "eukaryotic LSU rRNA". The record is from RNAcentral. Lineage: Eukaryota; Fungi.
AAAACUUACGAAAGGCUCCAGCACAUGCGUGCUCUCUCCCUCUACGGGCUCCCCUCCAUGGAGUCGGAGGGGUCCGCGCCGGAAGCAUCAUAUUCAAAUUGGUAUUCGGCAUCUAGGACCACAUUUUAAAUCAGAGCAGACUUUGAACCACUGAUCUCUAGGUGNUCACUUCGAGGUGGAAUGCAGUGAUACGCGAAAAGAAGUGUGAAAGGCAGAAGGCUAUGAAUCAUUGAUUCGAGGACAACACAUUGCGGCGGCCAGUAUUAUGGCGGGAGUCCGGCUUGCAGAGCCGUCGAAACCGAGGUGCCCCCGGUGCUCAGCGCCAGCAGGCUGCGCCUCUCCGUUCGCGUAGGCAAAGUCAGAGGCGGAGUCUCCCAGCGCUGAGCAACGGGGGCCCAUGGAUUUAAAUGACAGCGCCACAGGCAUGCCCGCCCGUAAAACACCCCACACAAAAAGGGUGACAUGAUAUCAGGAAGGAAUGACUUCUGCAAUUAACCAUAUCAAUAACAGGAGGAAAAGUUAUUAACCGGGAUUGCCAUAGUGAGGUCGGUUGAAGAAACUACAGCUCAAAUUUGAAAUCGGGCCCUGAGGUCAAAUGCUGUCAAGACAGAGGAGGCCACGGCCCGAUGCCUCCGGCGGGAGAAGGAAGGGGACCCCUUAAAGGGUGAAAGAGGUGUUUCACAGACAGCAAGCCUCUGUUACAUUC